AGGUCAUUUCAAAGAGGGCUUGUUGGACUGUAAACCCAAAUCUCUUAACACUGACCAAAAAUUGAGGCUCUCCACAGAAUGCCAGAGGCACUUCCUAGCGCUGCUGUGUUUUUCUGAGGAGAUACAGGC
Small nucleolar RNA from Nannospalax galili (Upper Galilee mountains blind mole rat), 129 nucleotides. The record is from Ensembl. Lineage: Eukaryota; Metazoa; Chordata; Mammalia; Rodentia; Spalacidae.